AAACCAACUCGGUCUGCAACAAAAAAGAAAUCACUUUAGAUUGUUUAGUUGAUGAACAUCCAGCGGUAGAUCACAUAUACUAAAAAUAAUUGAAAAGAUCUGUAUGUUUUAUUAUCUUUGUUAAGAUGAGAUGUUGUGAUUAAUACAACAGGGUCAGGGACCAUCAACCGCAGACACUUUUUGAACAUUUUUCUGUACAGGUUUCAUAAGUUUUAACCUAGAGACCAACAAAAUUGACAAGGUUCAGCUAGGUUCUUCCCCUAACUAACAAACUUGUUUGUCUGAUUGUAUUGACACUUAUAUCUGAGGCUCGACAAGGAAGUAUCAAAAUUACCUCAAUUGUCUACACUACAGCACCGUGUGUCCGGACAUUUAUGUACAUGACGUUAUUUAAUUCAGAUAACAGCUUGGGUGUUUUAAUUUUUAACAUGAUAGACAAUGAUUCAGAAACAAAUGCUGAAGUUUUGGAAAUUCUAUUGUUUACUCUGCAAAUGAUUAUAGAUGGUAUAUGAGGUCAGGCAUUGUUUUCUUGACCCCCCAAAUUUCAACGUCAACAUACUUUAAAUAGCCAUUAAAAUUAUAUUACCAUUUAUGGUGGUUGAAAUAAAUUUGUUUAUUUAUUUUUAGAAGAAACAUGCAUUUAUUGUUGAUAAAAAAAGUGACAACCACUGAACAAAGAAAAUACUAAAUUAAGCAUUUUCAGGGCCGUCCGGGUUUGGUGGUUGUCCGGUUUUGGUGGUCCCCAACCAGUAGCUUAAACAUUUAUGAACUGUAAAUUCUUCCCUCACACACUUUCAUCAAUAACAAUUUCAAUUAGAAAAGGUAUAUAAAUUAUGACAUGAAAACGUAAAACAAUGAAAGAUAUGAACACAUGAAACAAAGAUAAUUCAACAUAGAGCAACAAAACUAGUUCCACUGAGGAAUACCGUACCGCCGGUAAGGCCCCCAUGGUUACACUUUUAAAUGGAUUCGUUUCGAUUUUCAUUCAUAAACGGUUAUGAUAUUUUUUACCGUUUAUUCGAGAUGACCAUAUUGUCUUACAAAUUAUCUUAAUAAUUUCCUGUAAUCAUGGAUUUUAUCUAUACUUAUUGGUUUAUCAAAGUAAAAAAUGGAAAAUGGGUGUUUACAACCCGGACCACACACCAUCACCGUGCAAUAAUCGCUUGUGACAUAAUUCAUUUUUGUUGAAGUUGAUUUUUCUUUGAUCUUUUAAAUAACGAAAUGCGGAUACAAUGCAGAAAAUGUGUGCCGCCUAAAUCGUGAUGAGCACUGAACAUUAUUUAUUAUAGAAAGUAAGUCAUCAUUUGGCAAAUUACAUGGUAUAGUAUAGUGCAUAGAAGUACCACCGUUUAAACAGUAUCGAUUCGGUUCUUAGCAAUCAUGUAAAAAAUUGUAAACGUGGGAGCCUUUACCGCCGGAUAUUGCUCGAUAUUACGAGGACUUUCAUCCCAUUUCAAGACUAUGAACAAAGGUAAAUUCAAGGCCAUCAAAAAGGCUGUAUGAAUCGGAUAGUGACACUGAUGAGAAUGAGACAGACACCGAGAGUAGGCCAUCACAAGUUAUUGUUAAAGCAACAACUCCAAACAGGCACGAAGCCUGCUUUCACCUCCGCCUUGCUUAUCUGGACAGGCAUUGCGAGAGGCCAGCAGUGAUGUGCAAAGUGCUUCUCUAAUACAAGGUGCUUCUGAUAUGCCCUCCCGUGGGCAGAUUAUUGGGCCCACUGCUGUUACACAGAUUCUCUGAGUCUUGUAGACAAUGCGGGAGGAGAAUUGUGAAAUUAAGAGGAUGAUGUAGCAAUUGUUGUCAAGGUCAGCAGCAGAUGACCAACCGCUGCAGCUUCCUGAAGAUAUCUCAUUCCCUUUUCGUUCUCCUUAGCAGAUGGAAACAUUCGAUGAGCUUCUUGGAGAUCAGACAAAGCUGUCAUCUGUGGUGCGGUUCCUCUCAAUGUUUGGUGGGGCAGUUGUGCGGGAAACUGUUGACCGCUAGAUGAUAGAAACCAUGUCAAAUGAACUGGCAAUAAUGUUCAAUAUGAAGGGGGCUGAAAGGGAAGAAAACAUUUGGGCCGCCUCUAGAUACUGAAU
Molecule: long non-coding RNA, 2081 nt
Organism: Ruditapes philippinarum (Manila clam)
Lineage: Eukaryota; Metazoa; Mollusca; Bivalvia; Venerida; Veneridae
Exons: 4
Source: RefSeq, a predicted model, not a curated record